This 1035-nucleotide small RNA is filed under the name Pan troglodytes (chimpanzee). RNAcentral's name for it is "processed transcript". The record is from RNAcentral. Lineage: Eukaryota; Metazoa; Chordata; Mammalia; Primates; Hominidae.
GUAAAGAAAUAGAGGAAGCUAUGAAAAGAGUACGAGAAGCACAGUCCCUAAUUUCUGCUGCUAUAGAACCAGAUAAGAAAGAAGAAAAAAGAAGGCAUUCAAGAUCAAGAUCACGUUCUAGGAGGAGGAGGACUCCCUCAUCUUCUAGACACAGGCGGUCAAGAAGCAGAUCGAGACGGCGGUCACAUUCUAAGUCUAGGAGUCGGCGACGAUCCAAAAGCCCAAGGCGAAGAAGAUCUCAUUCCAGAGAAAGAGGUAGAAGGUCAAGGAGCACAUCAAAAACAAGAGACAAAAAGAAAGAAGACAAAGAAAAGAAACGUUCUAAAACACCACCAAAAAGUUACAGCACAGCCAGACGUUCUAGAAGUGCAAGCAGAGUAUAUUUGAAGUAACAUGGAAUUCAAGAGAGAGAGAGACGACGACGAAGAAGCAGGAGUGGCACAAGAUCUCCUAAAAAGCCUCGGUCUCCUAAAAGAAAAUUGUCUCGCUCACCAUCCCCUAGGAGACAUAAAAAGGAGAAGAAGAAAGAUAAAGACAAAGAAAGAAGUAGGGAUGAAAGAGAACGAUCAACAAGCAAGAAGAAGAAGAGUAAAGAUAAGGAAAAGGACCGGGAAAGAAAAUCAGAGAGUGAUAAAGAUGUAAAACAGGUUACACGGGAUUAUGAUGAAGAGGAACAGGGGUAUGACAGUGAGAAAGAGAAAAAAGAAGAGAAGAAACCAAUAGAAACAGGUUCCCCUAAAACAAAGGAAUGUUCUGUGGAAAAGGGAACUGGUGAUUCACUAAGAGAAUCCAAAGUGAAUGGGGAUGAUCAUCAUGAAGAAGACAUGGAUAUGAGUGACUGAAUAUUGCCUCUGAGGGAAUCCAACUGUAUACCUGCAUCAGUGUCAUUCCUUUGUGUGAUUUCUUAAUGCUGUAUUUGUUCAUCUCAAACCUAGAUGUAUACAGCUCUGAGUUAUAAAUGGUUAUAAAGCUCCUGUUACUGAUAUUAGUUAUUUACAUCAAAAAGCUUUUAGAAAAUGGUACGAGGUAACCAAU